Molecule: ribosomal RNA, 135 nt
Filed under: uncultured bacterium
Lineage: Bacteria
Description: partial 16S rRNA
Rfam family: Bacterial small subunit ribosomal RNA
Source: RNAcentral
UGGGGAAUAUUGGACAAUGGGCGAAAGCCUGAUCCAGCAAUGCCGCGUGAGUGAAGAAGGCCUUCGGGUUGUAAAGCUCUUUUACCCGGGAAGAUAAUGACUGUACCGGGAGAAUAAGCCCCGGCUAACUCCGUG